UACAGAGGGGGCAAGCGUUAUUCGGAAUUAUUGGGCGUAAAGGGCGCGUAGGCGGUGAUUCAAGUUGGAUGUGUAAUCCCCGAGCUCAACUUGGGAACUGCAUCCAAGACUGGAUUGCUAGAGUGCUGGAGAGGGUGGUGGAAUUCCUCGUGUAGCGGUGAAAUGCGUAGAGAUGAGGAGGAACACCAGUGGCGAAGGCGGCCACCUGGACAGUAACUGACGCUGAGGCGCG
RNAcentral lists this ribosomal RNA (232 nucleotides) under uncultured bacterium. Its description in RNAcentral is "partial 16S ribosomal RNA". It matches the Rfam family "Bacterial small subunit ribosomal RNA", at positions 524 to 755 of the family's 1533-position model. The record is from RNAcentral.